Molecule: long non-coding RNA, 309 nt
Organism: Astatotilapia calliptera (eastern happy)
Lineage: Eukaryota; Metazoa; Chordata; Actinopteri; Cichliformes; Cichlidae
Source: Ensembl
CUGUAAAGUCAGCGCAUACACGGCGCACCAGUUUCGCCGUCAUAAAUCUCUGGAGGCGCACAUCCAAUUCACCAAGGACUGGGUGCAAUUCACAGAGGCAUAUCUGACUGGAAGAACGCUGUGUACAGUGGUUGUGUGACUGGAGGAGCUAUUGGCUUUUGCGCUGGUCUGAAGGCUGGUGUUUAUUCUCUGCUGCAAUUAAACAUGACUUGCAGUGAAGCUCUAUGGAGUGGCUCGAUGGACAAAAACAUAAAUAUUACACAUGUGGCCCAGAGAAAGAAGACUCGCGUUGUGAGUUUGCUAACCCUG